This 497-nucleotide ribosomal RNA is filed under the name uncultured bacterium. RNAcentral's name for it is "partial 16S ribosomal RNA". It matches the Rfam family "Bacterial small subunit ribosomal RNA", at positions 28 to 507 of the family's 1533-position model. The record is from RNAcentral.
GAUGAACGCUGGCGGCGUGCCUAAUACAUGCAAGUCGAGCGAACGGACGAGAAGCUUGCUUCUCUGAUGUUAGCGGCGGACGGGUGAGUAACACGUGGAUAACCUACCUAUAAGACUGGGAUAACUUCGGGAAACCGGAUCUAAUACCGGAUGAUAUUUUGAACCGCAUGGUUCAAAAGUGAAAGACGGUCUUGCUGUCACUUAUAGAUGGAUCCGCGCUGCAUUAGCUAGUUGGUAAGGUAACGGCUUACCAAGGCAACGAUGCAUAGCCGACCUGAGAGGGUGAUCGCCCACACUGGAACUGAGACACGGUCCAGCCUCCUCCGGGAGGAAGAAGUAGGGAAUCUUCCGCAAUGGGCGAAAGCCUGACGGAGCAACGCCGCGUGAGUGAUGAAGGUCUUCGGAUCGUAAAACUCUGUUAUUAGGGAAGAACAUAUGUGUAAGUAACUGUGCACAUCUUGACGGUACCUAAUCAGAAAGCCACGGCUAACUACGUG